This 460-nucleotide ribosomal RNA is filed under the name uncultured bacterium. RNAcentral describes it as "partial 16S ribosomal RNA". It matches the Rfam family "Bacterial small subunit ribosomal RNA", at positions 338 to 795 of the family's 1533-position model. The record is from RNAcentral.
CCUACGGGUGGCAGCAGUGAGGAAUAUUGGUCAAUGGGCGCGAGCCUGAACCAGCCAAGUAGCGUGAGGGAUGACUGCCCUACGGGUUGUAAACUUCUUUUAUCAAGGAAUAAAGUGAGCCACGUGUGCCUUUUUGUAUGUACUUUAUGAAUAAGGCUCGGCUAACUCCGUGCCCGCAGCCGCGGUAAUACGGAGGAUCCGAGCGUUAUCCGGAUUUAUUGGGUUUAAAGGGAGCGUAGAUGGGUUGUUAAGUCCGUUGGGAAAGUCUGCGGCUCAACCGUAAAAUUGCAAUUGAUACUGGCGGCCUUGAGUACAGUUGAGGUAGGCGGAAUUCGUGGUGUAGCGGUGAAAUGCUUAGAUAUCACGAAGAACUCCGAUUGCGAAGGCAGCCUACUAACCUGCCACUGACAUUGAUGCUCGAAAGUGUGGGUAUCAAACAGGAUUAGAUACCCUUGUAGUC